RNAcentral lists this ribosomal RNA (497 nucleotides) under uncultured bacterium. RNAcentral describes it as "partial 16S ribosomal RNA". It matches the Rfam family "Bacterial small subunit ribosomal RNA", at positions 28 to 507 of the family's 1533-position model. The record is from RNAcentral.
GAUGAACGCUGGCGGCGUGCCUAAUACAUGCAAGUCGAGCGAACAGACGAGGACCUUGCCCCUCUCCCUUUCGCGCCGACCGGGUGAUUACCCCGUGGAAACCCUCCUUUUAAACCGGGGAUACCUUGGGAAACCGGGCCCUAAUCCCGGAUAAUAUUUUAACCCCCUUGGUCCAAUAGUAAAGACGGUUUUUCCUUCCCUUUAUCAUGGGUCCCGCGCCGCAUUAGCUAGUUGGUAAGGUAACGGCUUACCAAGGCAACGAUGCGUAGCCGACCUGAGAGGGUGAUCGGCCACACUGGAACUGAGACACGGUCCAGACUCCUACGGGAGGCAGCAGUAGGGAAUCUUCCGCAAUGGGCGAAAGCCUGACGGAGCAACGCCGCGUGAGUGAUGAAGGUCUUCGGAUCGUAAAACUCUGUUAUUAGGGAAGAACAAAUGUGUAAGUAACUAUGCACGUCUUGACGGUACCUAAUCAGAAAGCCACGGCUAACUACGUG